AGUGAACGCUGGCGGUAGGCCUAACACAUGCAAGUCGAACGGCAGCACAGUAAGAGCUUGCUCUUACGGGUGGCGAGUGGCGGACGGGUGAGGAAUACAUCGGAAUCUACUUUUUCGUGGGGGAUAACGUAGGGAAACUUACGCUAAUACCGCAUACGACCUACGGGUGAAAGCAGGGGAUCCUCGGACCUUGCGCGAUUGAAUGAGCCGAUGUCGGAUUAGCUAGUUGGCGGGGUAAAGGCCCACCAAGGCGACGAUCCGUAGCUGGUCUGAGAGGAUGAUCAGCCACACUGGAACUGAGACACGGUCCAGACUCCUACGGGAGGCAGCAGUGGGGAAUAUUGGACAAUGGGCGCAAGCCUGAUCCAGCCUUACCGCGUGGGUGAAGAAGGCCUUCGGGUUGUAAAGCCCUUUUGUUGGGAAAGAAAAGCAGCAGGUUAAUACCCCGCUGUUCUGACGGUACCCAAAGAAUAAGCACCGGCUAACUUCG
This 490-nucleotide ribosomal RNA is filed under the name uncultured bacterium. RNAcentral's name for it is "partial 16S ribosomal RNA". It matches the Rfam family "Bacterial small subunit ribosomal RNA", at positions 29 to 505 of the family's 1533-position model. The record is from RNAcentral.